AUGGAGGCACACGGCGGCGCCGGUGGAGUUCCCGCCCCCUUCUUCUUUCUGAGCCUUUAUUCUUCCUGUCCUUUCACUGGAUGAUCAAGUUAUAUGAGGCACUUGAAUCUAGAAGUAAUAUUGGCAUUGAAAUGUUUAUCCCUAGAUUUCGGUUAAUACACCAGAUAAAAUAAUUUCGUUUGAAUUGAAAAGAAUACAGUUUCCACUCACCGUAUGUUUUUGCCAUGGCAAUAUAUAAAAGUUAAGGACAGUUACUAU
RNAcentral lists this long non-coding RNA (258 nucleotides) under Helianthus annuus (common sunflower). RNAcentral describes it as "sRNA HanXRQr2_Chr11g0517751". The record is from RNAcentral. Lineage: Eukaryota; Viridiplantae; Streptophyta; Magnoliopsida; Asterales; Asteraceae.